GAUGAACGCUGGCGGCGUGCCUAAUACAUGCAAGUCGAGCGAACAGACGAGGAGCUUGCUCCUCUGACGUUAGCGGCGGACGGGUGAGUAACACGUGGAUAACCUACCUAUAAGACUGGGAUAACUUCGGGAAACCGGAGCUAAUACCGGAUAAUAUAUUGAACCGCAUGGUUCAAUAGUGAAAGACGGUUUUGCUGUCACUUAUGGAUGGAUCCGCGCCGCAUUAGCUAGUUGGUAAGGUAACGGCUUACCAAGGCAACGAUGCGUAGCCGACCUGAGAGGGUGAUCGGCCACACUGGAACUGAGACACGGUCCAGACUCCUACGGGAGGCAGCAGUAGGGAAUCUUCCGCAAUGGGCGAAAGCCUGACGGAGCAACGCCGCGUGAGUGAUGAAGGUCUUCGGAUCGUAAAACUCUGUUAUUAGGGAAGAACAAAUGUGAAAGUAACUAUGCACGUCUUGACGGUACCUAAUCAGAAAGCCACGGCUAACUACGUG
This 497-nucleotide ribosomal RNA is filed under the name uncultured bacterium. RNAcentral's name for it is "partial 16S ribosomal RNA". It matches the Rfam family "Bacterial small subunit ribosomal RNA", at positions 28 to 507 of the family's 1533-position model. The record is from RNAcentral.